Molecule: ribosomal RNA, 255 nt
Filed under: uncultured bacterium
Lineage: Bacteria
Description: partial 16S ribosomal RNA
Rfam family: Bacterial small subunit ribosomal RNA
Source: RNAcentral
UACGGGGGGAGCAAGCGUUGUUCGGAUUUACUGGGCGUAAAGGGCGCGUAGGCGGCCACCGCAAGUCAGUUGUGAAAUCUCUGGGCUUAACCCGGAACGGUCAGCUGAUACUGCGGGGCUAGAGUGCAGAAGGGGCAACUGGAAUUCUCGGUGUAGCGGUGAAAUGCGUAGAUAUCGAGAGGAACACCUGCGGCGAAGGCGGGUUGCUGGGCUGACACUGACGCUGACAGCGCGAAAGCUAGGGGAGCGAACGGG